MicroRNA precursor from Medicago truncatula (barrel medic), 232 nucleotides. It matches the Rfam family "MIR2630 microRNA precursor family". The record is from Rfam. NCBI's taxonomy places the organism in Eukaryota, Viridiplantae, Streptophyta, Magnoliopsida, Fabales, Fabaceae.
CCCUGCAAAUAUAGAAUAUUUAAUUUUGAUCCUUUGUAUUUUGUUUUAAUCCUGUAAAGUCAUUUCAUAUUGAAAUUGGUCCCUAUAAUAUUUAUUUUAGUCCUCAUUUUGAGGGACUAAAUCAAAUAUUCUACAUAUUACAAGGACCAAAUUAAAUCCAAUAUGAGUCAAUUUUACAAGGACUAAAACAAAAUACCAAGGACCAAAACCAAAUUUUUUAUAUUUGCAGUGA